Molecule: long non-coding RNA, 912 nt
Organism: Olea europaea var. sylvestris
Lineage: Eukaryota; Viridiplantae; Streptophyta; Magnoliopsida; Lamiales; Oleaceae
Exons: 5
Source: RefSeq, a predicted model, not a curated record
CUUUAGCAAAACCCAGAAUAAUCCAGGACUAAUGGUUCCCCACGGCGAGAGCUCCAGCACCAUCGCAUGGCUCCCGCCCGAGAAUCACCACUUCCUCGCCCUUCUUAAUUGUUUGGCAGACUCUUCAAUUGUUUGAAGUUCUGCCCUGAGAAGUCAAAGCCUGAAAAACCUCCAUUGAAGAACAUGCAGCGAUGGGUUCAAUGGCUCUGCGAGACCUCGAGAAUAAAGAAAACUAGCGAACUUGAGAAGACAUGUUUUCCCCUCACUCCCCCACCCUUCAGUGAAACCUAACACGAGCUUCACACUUGCUGUGUGUUUGAAUCCCUAAGGCCAAAAAAGUAUACUAUUCAGCUUGGAGAAAACGAGCUCGUGCUAAAGGUUCUCCCUUGCCUGCCUUCUAAUUCGGGGGGGCAUUUGAAGGAAUUGGAUCUGUUAAAUGAGGAUGCGAAUGUUUAUAAUUUAAUCGGGCCAGUGCUCGUCAAACAGGACGUGGCCAAGGCCAAUGCCAAAGCAACGCCAACAUCCGAAGCUUUUGGAUGGUACACUUCAUGAUUAGAGGAAAAACAAAACAGCAAGAAGUGAUAUUUAAGGUACAACAAAGAGUUCAGUCUCUCCAAGCUGGAAAAGGCAAUGCAUAAUAUACCGAAUCUGCACGAAAAUUUCUUCAUUUCUACAGUCGACGUGUUGUGGCCGCCAGAACAGGAUAAUAUCGUAGGUUAUUUGUGAAGUUAGAUGUUCAAUUUCCAUAUCAAUGUUUUUUUAUGCUUGUUCGGUUUUUGUAGAUCUUGUUUCUCCAAAGAUCAAUUGACUGUUGGGCACUUGUUAUGGCCGAUUUGUACUCUUGAAAAAUUCGGCAUGUUUGGUGAAGGGGAUUAAAUAACAAGAAAUAUAAGUUAAAAUCUUAUUUGUUGU